GACGAACGCUGGCGGUGUGCUUAACACAUGCAAGUGGAGCGACGAACCAGGGCUUGCCCUGGGGCAGAGCCGCGAACGGGUGAGUAACACGUGGGUAACGUACCCCGAUUACCGGGACAACCCGAGGAAACUCGGGCUAAUACCGGAUGUGCUCUCCUCCCAUGAGGGAGGCGAGUAAAGGAAGCUUCGGCCUCCGAAUCGGGAGCGGCCCGCGGCCUAUUAGUUUGUUGGUGGGGUAACGGCCUACCAAGACUGCGAUAGGUAGCUGGUCUGAGAGGACGAUCAGCCACACUGGGACUGAGACACGGCCCAGACUCCUACGGGAGGCAGCAGUGGGGAAUCUUGCGCAAUGCGCGACAGCGUGACGCAGCAACACCGCGUGGGGGAAGAAGGCCUUCGGGUUGUAAACCCCUUUCAGGAGGGACGAAGGCCGGCCGGUGAAUAGCCGUGCCGGUUGACGGUACCUCCACAAGAAGCCCCGGCUAACUACGUGC
This 494-nucleotide ribosomal RNA is filed under the name uncultured bacterium. RNAcentral's name for it is "partial 16S ribosomal RNA". It matches the Rfam family "Bacterial small subunit ribosomal RNA", at positions 28 to 508 of the family's 1533-position model. The record is from RNAcentral.